Larimichthys crocea (large yellow croaker) is the source of this 184-nucleotide long non-coding RNA. RefSeq lists it as uncharacterized. The record is from RefSeq and is a predicted model, not a curated record. The transcript is spliced from 2 exons. NCBI's taxonomy places the organism in Eukaryota, Metazoa, Chordata, Actinopteri, Sciaenidae.
AACAAUCACUGUAAUGAGCAGGUUUAUUACAGAUACAGUGAAUGAAAGAAUCAAUCAACAUCCACAUUUUAUGUCUCCAUACAGGGUCAAGGAAGAGGACUAGGGGGCGGCAAUCUCAGCGGGAUGAGGAGGAUGAAGGUGAGUAAAGUGAAUGAAUAUGAAGAGACAAAGAAUGAAGAAAGAA